RNAcentral lists this long non-coding RNA (796 nucleotides) under Vigna radiata. RNAcentral's name for it is "long non-coding RNA (VRAD_LNC015269)". The record is from RNAcentral. Lineage: Eukaryota; Viridiplantae; Streptophyta; Magnoliopsida; Fabales; Fabaceae.
GCUGUUACUCGUAAAAACUAAUAAUAAUAAUUUAAUUUAUAUUUUUAAAAUUAUUUUUUUAUUACUCUUAAAGAAAAAGAAAUUUUAAUAACUUUUCAGUUACCUUUGUUUAAAUAAAAAGAAAAAAAGGAGUUACAUUACUCUUUACCUAACCAUAUCAGAUGUUGAAUCGCAGACAUACUAUCAAAUUAGAAAAUUUUCCUCACUUUGCUGCUUUUCUUGCGGAUGGACUUGCUUGGGUGUGAUUUUCCCUCUCAUUGGUCGUGUGCGAGUUUCUCGCUUAAGGGAUGGCUCUUUUCUUCUUCUUGUUGGUUCAGCUCUAAUUGCAGGGAAUAGGCUUCAUUCUCUCUUUUUCUCUCUCUUGGUUCUAAUUGAGGUUUUGUUCUGAUUUGGGAUUUGAAAUUAGGGUUUUGUUUGUUCUUUGAUUUUCGGGGUUUCUUUUCUACGUUUUUUAUUUGCUGGAGGUACGCGUUCUCCUAAAUACUCUUUAUCUCUCUCUUUUUAAGACUGCAGUUGUUGGGUGUUUCUUCCUGAUAUGUCUUUUUUUUUUUCUUUUCAAAAGUUGAUCACUAAAGUAUAUUUUUUAAUUAUUUUCUGGUUGAAAAUGGGUAUUGAACGAUACACCCUUAAAAAAUCCUAGCGGGCAGUGAGUUGAGUGACUUGAGUUAUCAAUAGAGACUAUCUAGACAGUAUCUUUAUUCUACCUAACUCGGUUUCAUCCCUAGUGAUUAAUAAAUAUUUUUAUUCAACCUAACUCGUUUUCUAAUUAAUAAAUAUGUUUGAUGCGAUAUUAUUU